RNAcentral lists this long non-coding RNA (658 nucleotides) under Monodelphis domestica (gray short-tailed opossum). RNAcentral describes it as "lncRNA (ENSMODG00000032523.2)". Lineage: Eukaryota; Metazoa; Chordata; Mammalia; Didelphimorphia; Didelphidae. The record is from RNAcentral.
CCAGAGGUCUUGGUCCUAUAGCUAGGGAUUUUGAAAAGUUGAUUGACAGCCUGCAAGCCAAGAUUCUGCAGAGCUGGCUGGGUCAUGAUUCUAAGUUGGUUGAGCAGCUAACAACUGUCUCUCUUAAGGUGGGAUUCAGACACAGAGGCUGUGUAUCUGAGAGUCUCCCUGAAGAAAUCAUCUUUGAAGCUGCCUGACUUGGAUUAUCCUCAAGAAAAAGAAUGAGUGUCUAUAAUUUAUGAUUUAUUGUCUUGAAGAAUAUCAAGUAUGGAAAAGCUCUUCAUGGAUAUGGAGAAGAAAACUUGUCCAUAACAUAAGGUGUAUCUCCACAGGUUGCUAUGAGCCAUUCUCUCAGGGAAUCAGCAUGGUACCUGGACUAAUUUAUAAAGGAGAUGAAAAAGAAAUGGAGUCGUUAUAAUGAACACCAUUAAUUCACCACUCCAGACUUCACUGUUUGAACAGCAAGUAUCAAGCGACUCAAUUGUCAUUUGUCGAUUCAAUUCUGCUAUUUUGCCUGUCGGAAAUGACCGGCAAGGAGAACUGCGUGCAGACUGCUGUACGGCUGCUAAUUAGCAUAUAUAUUGUUUGUCCUGGUAUAAAUUUAUAGCAAACAGCAAUAUUUUACACUCCAGUAAAGUUAAUAAAUGAAGCUUUGGGC